RNAcentral lists this ribosomal RNA (449 nucleotides) under uncultured bacterium. RNAcentral describes it as "bacterial SSU rRNA". It matches the Rfam family "Bacterial small subunit ribosomal RNA", at positions 329 to 794 of the family's 1533-position model. The record is from RNAcentral.
GACCAGACUCCUACGGGAGGCAGCAGUGGGGAAUAUUGCACAAUGGGGGAAACCCUGAUGCAGCGACGCCGCGUGAGUGAAGAAGUAUUUCGGUAUGUAAAGCUCUAUCAGCAGGGAAGAAAAUGACGGUACCUGACUAAGAAGCCCCGGCUAACUACGUGCCAGCAGCCGCGGUAAUACGUAGGGGGCAAGCGUUAUCCGGAUUUACUGGGUGUAAAGGGAGCGUAGACGGCAUGGCAAGUCAGAUGUGAAAGCCCGGGGCUCAACCCCGGGACUGCAUUUGAAACUGUCAGGCUGGAGUGCAGGAGAGGGAAGUGGAAUUCCUAGUGUAGCGGUGAAAUGCGUAGAUAUUAGGAGGAACACCAGUGGCGAAGGCGGCUUACUGGACUGUAACUGACGUUGAGGCUCGAAAGCGUGGGGAGCAAACAGGAUUAGAUACCCGAGUACGA